RNAcentral lists this ribosomal RNA (675 nucleotides) under uncultured Nitrososphaerota archaeon. RNAcentral describes it as "bacterial SSU rRNA". It matches the Rfam family "Archaeal small subunit ribosomal RNA", at positions 78 to 756 of the family's 1478-position model. Lineage: Archaea; Thermoproteati; Nitrososphaerota. The record is from RNAcentral.
GUGGCAUACGGCUCAGUAACACGUAGUCAACAUGCCCAGGGGACGUGGAUAACCUCGGGAAACUGAGGAUAAACCGCGAUAGGUCAUCACUUCUGGAAUGGGUAAUGACUUAAACCUAUAUGGCCCCUGGAUUGGACUGCGGCCGAUCAGGCUGUUGGUGAGGUAAUGGCCCACCAAACCUGUAACCGGUACGGGCUCUGAGAGGAGGAGCCCGGAGAUGGGCACUGAGACAAGGGCCCAGGCCCUAUGGGGCGCAGCAGGCGCGAAACCUCUGCAAUAGGCGAAAGCUUGACAGGGUUACUCUGAGUGAUUUCCGUUAAGGAGAUCUUUUGGCACCUCUAAAAAUGGUGCAGAAUAAGGGGUGGGCAAGUCUGGUGUCAGCCGCCGCGGUAAUACCAGCACCCCGAGUGGUCGGGACGUUUAUUGGGCCUAAAGCAUCCGUAGCCGGUUCUACAAGUCUUCCGUUAAAUCCACCUGCUUAACAGAUGGGCUGCGGAAGAUACUAUAGAGCUAGGAGGCGGGAGAGGCAAGCGGUACUCGAUGGGUAGGGGUAAAAUCCGUUGAUCCAUUGAAGACCACCAGUGGCGAAGGCGGCUUGCCAGAACGCGCUCGACGGUGAGGGAUGAAAGCUGGGGGAGCAAACCGGAUUAGAUACCCGGGUAGUCCCAGCUGUAA